UUCUAAAUUUUAAAUUAAUAAAUUCAGAUAUAAAUUUAUGAUUAAAACUUAAAUUUUGAAAUUAAUUUUGAAUCCUUAAUUUCAAUAUAAAUAAUUAUUAAAGACAUUAAUUUAUUUAUCAUCCCAUCUAUUUUUCAAAAUUGAUAUAUUUUCAAAUUAAUUAAUUAUUUUCAAUUUGAAAUACUGUUUACACACCCAAAAUAUUAAAAUUUUAAUUAAUUUCAAAUUUUAAAUUAAAAUAUUAAAUCACAUUUGAAAUUAUGAACCAAAUUUAAA
Molecule: long non-coding RNA, 276 nt
Filed under: Ananas comosus (pineapple)
Lineage: Eukaryota; Viridiplantae; Streptophyta; Magnoliopsida; Poales; Bromeliaceae
Description: long non-coding RNA (ACOM_LNC043433)
Source: RNAcentral